RNAcentral lists this ribosomal RNA (376 nucleotides) under uncultured organism. RNAcentral describes it as "partial 16S ribosomal RNA". It matches the Rfam family "Bacterial small subunit ribosomal RNA", at positions 527 to 896 of the family's 1533-position model. The record is from RNAcentral.
GUAGGUGGCAAGCGUUGUCCGGAAUUAUUGGGCGUAAAGCGCGCGCAGGCGGUCCUUUAAGUCUGAUGUGAAAGCCCACGGCUCAACCGUGGAGGGUCAUUGGAAACUGGGGGACUUGAGUACAGAAGAGGAAAGCGGAAUUCCAAGUGUAGCGGUGAAAUGCGUAGAGAUUUGGAGGAACACCAGUGGCGAAGGCGGCUUUCUGGUCUGUAACUGACGCUGAGGCGCGAAAGCGUGGGGAGCAAACAGGAUUAGAUACCCUGGUAGUCCACGCCGUAAACGAUGAGUGCUAAGUGUUAGGGGGGUUUCCCGCCCCCCUUAGUGCUGCAGCUAACGCAUUAAGCACUCCGCCUGGGGGAGUACGGCCGCAAGGCUG